Molecule: ribosomal RNA, 445 nt
Filed under: uncultured bacterium
Lineage: Bacteria
Description: SSU rRNA
Rfam family: Bacterial small subunit ribosomal RNA
Source: RNAcentral
AGAACGAACGCUGGCGGCAGGCCUAAUACAUGCAAGUCGAACGCACUCUUCGGAGUGAGUGGCAGACGGGUGAGUAACGCGUGGAAACCUUCCCAAUAGUACGGAAUAACUCCGGGAAACCGGUGCUAAUACCGUAUAAGCCCUUCGGGGGAAAGAUUUAUCGCUAUUGGAUGGGUCCGCGUCGGAUUAGCUUGUUGGUAGGGUAAUGGCCUACCAAGGCGACGAUCCGUAGCUGGUCUGAGAGGAUGAUCAGCCACACUGGGACUGAGACACGGCCCAGACUCCUACGGGAGGCAGCAGUAGGGAAUCUUGGACAAUGGGCGAAAGCCUGAUCCAGCCAUGCCGCGUGAGUGAAGAAGGCCUUAGGGUUGUAAAGCUCUUUUGGCGGGGACGAUAAUGACGGUACCCGCAGAAUAAGCCCGGCUAACUUCGUGCCAGCAGCCGC